Molecule: unclassified non-coding RNA, 226 nt
Filed under: Persephonella hydrogeniphila
Lineage: Bacteria; Pseudomonadati; Aquificota; Aquificia; Aquificales; Hydrogenothermaceae
Description: Bacterial large signal recognition particle RNA
Rfam family: Bacterial small signal recognition particle RNA (bases 99-198)
Source: RNAcentral
GAGCGGCCGAAGGGGCAGCACUGGAAAUGCUGUGUACCGUUUAUCGGUACCGUGGGUUCAAAUCCCACCCCAUCCGCCAUGAGAGUUUAGAAUAAAAUUGCCGGGUCCCUCCGGGUAGGGACUGGUGAACCCCGCCAGGCCCGGAAGGGAGCAACGGUAAGCCAGAAUCCCUACGCCGGUAGGGGGUGCCCGGUUUAACAAUAUUGAGGGGAAAUAUGAGCCUCAU